This 253-nucleotide ribosomal RNA is filed under the name uncultured bacterium. RNAcentral describes it as "partial 16S ribosomal RNA". It matches the Rfam family "Bacterial small subunit ribosomal RNA", at positions 524 to 776 of the family's 1533-position model. The record is from RNAcentral.
UACGUAGGGGGCAAGCGUUGUCCGGAUUUAUUGGGCGUAAAGAGCGUGUAGGCGGCUUUGCAAGUCCGUUGUGAAAACUCGAGGCUUAACCUCGAGACGCCGGUGGAAACUGCAAAGCUAGAGUCCGGAAGAGGAGAGUGGAAUUCCUGGUGUAGCGGUGAAAUGCGCAGAUAUCAGGAAGAACACCCGUGGCGAAGGCGGCUCUCUGGGACGGUACUGACGCUGAGACGCGAAAGCGUGGGGAGCGAACAGG